UGGGACAGUCCCAUGCUAUUCUCAUGAUAGUGAGCAAGUCUCAUGAGAUCCGAUGGGUUUAUUAGAGGGUUCUGCUUUUGCUCCCUCCUCAUUUUCUCUUGCCACCGCCAUGGAUGAAGAACCUUUCACCUCCCGCCAAGAUUCUGAGGCCUCACAAGUAAUUGGCAGUCUUCAUCAACCACUUGAAAUUCUCCUUCCAAGAUGAGCUGGAUAUAAGGAAACAGAUCCCCAGAGGUCAAAUAUCCUGCCAAAGAUGCCCUUGAAAGCCGGUGAAACAGCUGUCCGAAUCCAAAGCCUAUGCUCUUUACCUGACCAAAUGUUGGUUACUUAUUGGCACUUCCACAGGAGACAAAGAUUGCCAUUUUUAUCUUUUCAAGAAGCAAAACUGGCAUAGGAAAGGCAUGGAGAAGAUAAUAAAAGGAGAGAGCAAGUAUUUAAUUUGUUGUACAGCAUAUUUUAUAUUAAUAGGCAUACUCUACAGACAACGCAUACUUCAUCAUAUAGUUAAUACGUACGAGAAAAAUGAUGCUUAUUUACAACCAGAGUCAAAGAUAUCUCAAAUCUGAUUAACAUUGAAAAGCAACAACCUUAAAUGUCAUCUGUUAUCUAUAUUUUGUAUCUCUACUUUUAUCCAAUAAAACUGUUU
This is a non-coding RNA of Macaca mulatta (Rhesus monkey), 646 nucleotides long. The record is from RefSeq and is a predicted model, not a curated record. NCBI's taxonomy places the organism in Eukaryota, Metazoa, Chordata, Mammalia, Primates, Cercopithecidae.